CACGUAGGGAGCAAGCGUUGUCCGGAUUUAUUGGGCGUAAAGAGCUCGUAGGCUGUUCGAUAAGUCGGGUGUGAAACCUCCAGGCUCAACCUGGAGACGCCACCCGAUACUGUCAUGACUAGAGUCCGGUAGGGGAGCGUGGAAUUCCUGGUGUAGCGGUGAAAUGCGCAGAUAUCGGGAGGAGCACCAGUAGCGAAGGCGGCUCGCUGGGCCGUUCCUGACGCUGAGACGCGAAAGCUAGGGGAGCGAACAGG
Molecule: ribosomal RNA, 254 nt
Filed under: uncultured bacterium
Lineage: Bacteria
Description: partial 16S ribosomal RNA
Rfam family: Bacterial small subunit ribosomal RNA
Source: RNAcentral